Molecule: ribosomal RNA, 117 nt
Filed under: Solanum tuberosum (potato)
Lineage: Eukaryota; Viridiplantae; Streptophyta; Magnoliopsida; Solanales; Solanaceae
Description: rRNA 5_8S_rRNA
Rfam family: 5.8S ribosomal RNA
About the family: 5.8S ribosomal RNA (5.8S rRNA) is a component of the large subunit of the eukaryotic ribosome. It is transcribed by RNA polymerase I as part of the 45S precursor that also contains 18S and 28S rRNA.
Source: Rfam by way of RNAcentral
AGAAUGUAGCAAAAUGCGAUACUUGGUGUGAAUUGCAGAAUCCCGUGAACCAUCGAGUCUUUGAACACAAUUUGCACCUGAAGCCAUUAGGUCGACGGCAUGUCUGCCUGGGCGUCA